This 253-nucleotide ribosomal RNA is filed under the name uncultured bacterium. RNAcentral's name for it is "partial 16S ribosomal RNA". It matches the Rfam family "Bacterial small subunit ribosomal RNA", at positions 524 to 776 of the family's 1533-position model. The record is from RNAcentral.
UACGUAGGGUGCGAGCGUUGUCCGGAAUUAUUGGGCGUAAAGGGCUCGUAGGCGGUCUGUCGCGUCGGGAGUGAAAACUCGGGGCUUAACUCCGAGCCUGCUUCUGAUACGGGCAGACUAGAGGUAUGCAGGGGAGAAUGGAAUUCCUGGUGUAGCGGUGAAAUGCGCGGAUAUCAGGAGGAACACCGGUGGCGAAGGCGGUUCUCUGGGCAUGACCUGACGCUGAGGAGCGAAAGUGUGGGGAGCGAACAGG